AUUGAACGCUGGCGGCAUGCUUUACACAUGCAAGUCGAACGGCAGCGCGGGCUUCGGCCUGGCGGCGAGUGGCGAACGGGUGAGUAAUACAUCGGAACGUGCCCAGUAGUGGGGGAUAGCUCGGCGAAAGCCGGAUUAAUACCGCAUACGACCUGAGGGUGAAAGCGGGGGAUCUUCGGACCUCGCGCUAUUGGAGCGGCCGAUGGCAGAUUAGCUAGUUGGUGGGGUAAAGGCCUACCAAGGCGACGAUCUGUAGCUGGUCUGAGAGGACGACCAGCCACACUAGGACUGAGACAAGACCCAGACUCCUACGGGAGGCAGCAGUGGGGAAUUUUGGACGAUGAGCGAAAGCAUGAUCAAGCAAUGCCGCGUGUGUGAUGAAGGCAUUAGGGUUGUAAAGCACUUUUGGCGAGAAAGAAAAGGACUGUGCAAAUACCUCAAUUCGAUGACGGUACCCGAAGAAUAAGCAACGGCUAGCUACGUG
This 484-nucleotide ribosomal RNA is filed under the name uncultured bacterium. Its description in RNAcentral is "partial 16S ribosomal RNA". It matches the Rfam family "Bacterial small subunit ribosomal RNA", at positions 29 to 507 of the family's 1533-position model. The record is from RNAcentral.